Molecule: long non-coding RNA, 1173 nt
Filed under: Mytilus galloprovincialis (Mediterranean mussel)
Lineage: Eukaryota; Metazoa; Mollusca; Bivalvia; Mytilida; Mytilidae
Source: RNAcentral
UCGAGACGGUGACCUUUAAUAAUUCACAUCUAUACAAACUGGACCCCUGUUGUGUUCACCUCGAAGUGCUAAGCUACAUGUAUAGAUGGAAAGGCGGACCAGUUUAACAUCUAUAAGUCAUUUUGUUUCUUAUGGAUAGUAACUCGAAUAAUUCAAGCCCUUUCCGUGUCCGAUUUUCUCCCACACGUUAAUGUAGCCUUCGUAGAUCAGCGGAAUAUAACGACUGAAUUAUUCAACUAAUUUGACUGUGAGACAAGUCUUAUUAAACAUCAUUAGAAGUACAGUAAAUUGCUAAAAUGGCGGGAGUUCUUCAUGUUAUUGUGAGUGAAGUUCUAUUCAAACAUUUGCCUGCAUUUUUAGUAUUUUUGGAAGAUAUAUACAAAGACUAACACAAUUUUCUGACAGAAAUAAGAUUAUCUAUAGAUAAUCGAAAAAUCGAAAUCGGCAAAAUUUAAGACCUCAACUUAUUUGACUGUGAGACAAACAUGGCGGGAGUUCUUCGUGUGUUUGUGAGUGAAGAUCUAUUCAAACAUUUGCCUGCAUUUUUAGUAAUUUUUGGAAGAUAUGUACAAAGAAUUACACAACUUUCUGACAGAAAUAAGAUUAUCUAUAGAUAUAUAGAUACAUUAAGCGCAGUGUGUACAGUGUAUGUCGUCGCGAGUUUGAUUAUCAUAAGGGCUAAACAAGACCUUUCGACUUAUCAACGAGCUUGUUCUACUAUGAGCAACACGAAGAGUGUCACAUAGGGAUCAGGAUACUUUUAACUUUCUGGAUCACCUGAGAUGGGUUUGUGUUGCUCAGUAUUUAUGUUUUCUAUGUUAUGUUUUGUGUUCAAAUAUUUGUCUGUUAGUCUAUUUCUGUCAGAAUUAUAAGUAUUGUAAUGCAAAACAUACAUACUAUAAAAGCAACAAACGGCCGCUUCUUCGUUUUGCUGUUCUGAAGACAAACAAAAAUCAGAGAGACUACAACUACCAAACAGACAUUUCAACUCAUUAGUCGAAAAUAAACUGACAAUCACAUAGCAAAAAAGAAAAAGAUAAAAACACAAACAAAAACCAACUGGUAGAAAUUCCAGGUUCUCCGCAAGGAUAAACAAAUCCUACUCUACAUUCGUGUUGAGUUUUAUGAUCCAAAUGAUUUAAAGAAAAUUAUGAAAGUCAUAACUUUUAAAUC